Long non-coding RNA from Odontomachus brunneus, 4840 nucleotides. RefSeq lists it as uncharacterized. NCBI's taxonomy places the organism in Eukaryota, Metazoa, Arthropoda, Insecta, Hymenoptera, Formicidae. The record is from RefSeq and is a predicted model, not a curated record. The transcript is spliced from 4 exons.
AAUAUUCUGUGUGCAGUAUUCAAUAUAAGAGUAAUUAGUAAUGUGUGUGGGGAGACAGUGGCACCGUAUAAAAGGAUUACUAUGUGACUCUGCAAGGUGCAUAUUAUUUCCUUUUUUCAAAAUUAAAAUUUCAAAAUGUUAUUUUUGAAAUUUAUCAUCGGCCAUUUACUUCGCAGUAUCGGAUACAAUGUUGCUUUUACCUUUAAACGUCAAGAUAAACAAUACAAAAUGUAUGGGACAAAUAUUUUGUUGCCGCUUUAUAAUGCAUCCCAAAACACAUAAAAAUCGAGCCUAUAAAUUGCACAUCUGCGCAUUUGUUCGCGAAUGCCAUCCCCGAAACAAGGUUACUACGUGACGAAUUGCCAUCGAAGCCAAGCAACUCGCUUGAGUCGUACUAAAAAGCAGGCGACAUAAAAAUACGUGCAGCGCAGAGAGAAUGUUACGUGCGUUGGAAGUACGGGAUUAAAGAUAAUUUUUUCCAUUUUUAAUAUUUCCGUGGGAUAUAUAAGGAUUCUCCCGGUUAUCGCGUGGUUUCACACGUGUGGAGAUCGUUUAUUGCUAUCGGAUCAAUCCUUCUUUCUGAUAAAAAUUUAUAACCGUUUCCAAAGACUCGCAGGAGUCCCUUGAAGACGUUUGUUGUGUGCAUUUUGGUAAUGCAAUGUAGAAAAAAGGAGAACGUAAUAUACGUGAGAUUAUGUCGAUCGGUCCUGAUCGGUACUGAUUGACGUCGCGGAUAUUGCUAAGCCUGGUUUAAUACGAUUAUUAAACGAGUAUGCUUCAUGCUGGAAACCAGCGGUGACAACGCAUGGGAAAUCGAAUUUACGCGGCGAAAAGGGAGAGGACACACGAAGAGGACAAGCACGUAUUUCAUAAUUUAUUUUGUUCGUCGCGAGAAUUUGUCGUGUAAUGUUGACGUCGUGAAUACGCAACGUUAAAAAUAUCCUGUCAUCGAUUGUUUCAUAAAUAUUUUAUCACAACUCCAUUUUCAUAUACUUAAUCACGUUGCUGAACAGCGAAUGUCUCUGCGAUUCAAUUUCUAAUAAAAUAAGCAAAAUUAUUAUUUUUGCAUCUAAUUGUUUCGCUUAUCUGGCACAAUAUUAUUGACCAUUUUUUAGCUAUGCAAAAAUUUUUAGCGCAUUUAUCAGAGUAAUGCUUCAUUUACACCAAAGAACAAGUUUCGCGCGCUUUAAGUUAGUUUGCCAAAGAUAUUCCUGUUACCUCUGACAGGUUCACAAAUUCAGUGUAAUCUAAUCUUCGUGCACGGUCUCAUAUUCAUCAGUAGGUAUUGCGAAUAUUGCGGAAGUAGCGAAGGUACGUAUGGUCAAUGGAGACUAGAGAGAAGUUUAACAUCAUGUGAAAGGAUAACUUGGGGAAGACAAUCUAACUAUCUCGCGCACGUACGGUGACGUAACUGAAGUAGGUAACUCGCGCUUCCAACACGUACUGAAGUCUGCUUGAGAAAUACUUUUCCAUCUCGAAUAUUUGCUUUCGUGUAUCGCGCAAGAAAAUAUUCAUGCGACUCGCAGUUAUGUCGAUAUUAAUACUGGCGAAUUAAAGAUAAUAUAAUCGUUUGGUCAAAUAUAAACCAACAUGAAUUUUGAAGAGUGUUUGGUGAAAUAUCCACCGACGUGACUUUUUAAGAAAAUUGUCAUGAGUCAGACAUGUUAUAUAAUAUACUUCAGCGUAAGUGGCUCGAUUUUCUUGGAUUUAGUAAAAAUAUUGACCGUUGAAAAAAAUCAUCAUUAGAGAAAGUAAUAGUUACUCCUUUGAAGUGAGUAUAAUAUUUUUUCAAAAUCUACUGUCAAAAAAUUCAUAUUAUACAUACAUUACUAUUACUGUAGAUAAACAAAAGAAAACGCAAGAAACACGUUAUUAAAAACACGGCAUUACAAUUUAACGAAAACUAAUUUCAGUUCUUUUGAAUAUACUUUUUUCUUUGUUUUUAUAUAUCUCUUCGAGAAUUAAACGGCAUUCCCUAAUGAUCAAAGUUCCUCUAUGAAUAUAUAAAAUAAAACGAUGUCUAUCAUUAAAAUAUCUCACUUUGAGUAACAUUAGAUAUUACAACGAUGCGUCAUUAAUUUCUAGAUCUCUUUUAAAUAAUCUCGCAUCGUUAGCAAUCUUCAUAUGGUGAUUUUUUUCAUCGAAAAUCAAUGCGAUUUACAUCUGAACAUGCACUACGUAAUAUGACGUUUUGUGAGCGUUUAAAUUGAGCACUCACCAAUUCAGCAUCGCCCAAAACGCCGGCCAGAACCACCGAUGAAACUCACGGCUCAGCAUCCAGUCUCUUAGAUCUGUCACUCAAUCACUGCACUCGCGAUCGUUUCAACAGCGUUUGACGGUCUAACAAAAUAUACGCGAUAAACUCGAGUACUUGGAAAAUACGCGCGAGUCUCUGAUCGCGUAUAAACUAUAGAAAAUCGAAGAUCACGGCGUUCGUGACAAGAUCGAGAAAAAAAGAAAGUGGUACGUUUCACAGGACGGUAAAACUUCGUCAACAAACGGGAAUCUCGUUUUCUCAAGUGUUCCAAUUUUAGAAACAAACGAUAAAUAUGUAUAUAAAAUUUCAUAAUAAUUCUAUCGAAUUCUUAUUCGUGACGGAUUAUGUCACAUCAGUAUACGCUCGCGGCGUGUGCAAAAUCGAUCGACGAGAAGCAUGAGGUUAAAAUUCGUAGGCGAAGUCGACGCGACGCGAAUUAAAAACGCGAUCGCGAGAUCUGUCAGGGCAAAGAAUCGCAGGUGGCGUGAGAUUCUUAUGCAUCAUGGCUUCGCAACACUUGUGCGAAGCCAUGCUCUGCGACAUUGCGCAAAGACUUCUCCGCAAUAUCUCUGCGAAGUACGCUCUUCCAGAAUAUCUCCGGAAUAUCUUCGCGAAUUCAAUAAAAUUCACAUUUUUCUAAAGAGAUAAUCGCGUGCGCGAACGCAAACGUAAAUAUAAAAACACGAAAAUUAGAAAUCCUGUACGCGAUCGUACGCGAUUGUAAAUAUUGAAAGUUUCUGUCUCUACAAUAAACGAAAUCAUGACGCGUAAUUAGACGAAAAAAACUUCGGUUUUACUCUGUCCGACUUGUGUUGUUUUCAAUAAAAAUACUGAUACUCGACCAUACCAUAUCUCGUACGCGCGAGAGGAACUAUAAAAAAAUAAAAUAAACUGAAAACAAAAUCUCGAUGAUCACGAAAUCGGUGCGUCCAAUUUAUAUUGCGAAAAAAAUUGCUAGAUAUAUAAAAUCGGAUUGUUUUGCUUCAAUAAAACUUAUCUUCGCGAUGUUGAAUUUAACAAGCUUCGUUGCUGUUCACGGAACGUAAUUGCGACAUAUAUACACGUAUGAAAAAUUUAGAAAAUCAAUCGCCACGUCAAUCACGAAAUCCGUUAAUGCGAAUAAAGCAUUCGCGAAUAUUAAUGCAAUUUGAUUUUAAUAAAAUUGUAUAUUGCUUAGAACAAUUAGAAAAUCACAUUCAAUAUGAAUAGUUAUAUUGAAUAAUUCUAUGGUGUUAAAUAAUUAUAAGGAGAGUGAAAAAAAUAUGUUCAAAUAAUAUAGAUAUUGAAGAACGUGAUUCAUUCAUUGUUUCAAGUAAUAUUUUUUAUACAAUGACACACACAAGAAAGCCAAAUAUCUAAGGUAAAUCGCAUUGAGAAAUUUUAACGAAUUUUAAAAUUGUCUACAACUAUAAAUCUUUUUAAACACACAGCUUCUUCACUUACCGAAGUGUCGUCAACUCAGAAUCGGCCACGCUCUACUUCUGAAUCUGAAACAAAAACAUAUAAUGGUGCUGAUUAUCUUUAAUGAUUUAACUUAACGGGUGAGUUCAGGUAUUCAACGAUGGAAAAUUAUAUAUAUAUAUAUAUAUAUAUAUAUAUAUAUAUAUAUAUAUAUACAUCUCAAGGUUGCGUUCCAAAACGUCCUCAUUGAGGAAAAUUUUACUGAAAAUCCAUAAUGUAUAUAACAUGUACUACAGAUUUACAGUAAGAUUUUCCUCAAAGAAAACGUUUUGGAAUGCAACCCAAAUUUAUAACGCAAAAGGUUAAAGGAGUUAAGUUAAGAGUUAAGGUUAAAAGGUUAUCUGUACACACUUACGAGCCGACCCUGCUCGGCCCGAACCGAAUCCUUCGGUACUGCAUUCGCAACCACCGGAAUUAUAUAGCUGCCUUCGUCACGGCUGCAAGGUCUUCCAGUUUUGAAAAAGACAAUUUUUCUAAUUAGUUAUAGUAAUAAAGAAGUUGCGCGAUUUUAACGAUUCGAUAAUAAGAAUUCUGUACAGAAGAUUAAAGACAUGAGGUUUAAUUAUAUUAAGUAGAAGAAUUUAUAUUAGACAUGUUAUUAUCGACUGAAUAAAUCUUUUUUGGUUUUUUUAGAUAUUUUUUCCCUCAAUGUACUCAAGAGAACACCGUUAUCGUAUUUUAUAUUAUCGUAUAUCGUAUAUUAUACCAAUAUUUCAUAUUACAUUCCUUAAUAUUUGAUUGCUUAGUAUACGUCUAUAGUCUAUAGUUGUUUAUCGCAUUGUUACUAAUCUUAAUAUCUAAAAAUCUUAAUACCGUUUAUGAGAUAUUAAGGUUACGAAAUGUUAAGUAGAAAAAACCAUGAGUUAAAAUACCUUUGAGGCAAUUCUACUCGAAUCGCGAACCCUCCGAUAUUGCGUCUGUAUACACCGGAACGCAGCAGCUUUUCCAAUACAGCCGCAAGUUCUGACAGGUCUGAAAUAGAAAAUAAAUCUCCUAAUUAGUCACAACAGAGAAAUUGCUCAGUACUGGCGAUCCAAUUAAGAAUUCAGCGCUAAGAUAUCAGUAAUACGUGACUCAAUUGUAGGUUAUGUUAUACAGGUUAUAUUUCUUUUAUAUCUAAUA